Molecule: ribosomal RNA, 490 nt
Filed under: uncultured bacterium
Lineage: Bacteria
Description: partial 16S ribosomal RNA
Rfam family: Bacterial small subunit ribosomal RNA
Source: RNAcentral
AUUGAACGCUGGCGGCAGGCCUAACACAUGCAAGUCGAACGGUAACAGGAAGAAGCUUGCUUCUUUGCUGACGAGUGGCGGACGGGUGAGUAAUGUCUGGGAAACUGCCUGAUGGAGGGGGAUAACUACUGGAAACGGUAGCUAAUACCGCAUAACGUCGCAAGACCAAAGAGGGGGACCUUCGGGCCUCUUGCCAUCGGAUGUGCCCAGAUGGGAUUAGCUAGUAGGUGGGGUAACGGCUCACCUAGGCGACGAUCCCUAGCUGGUCUGAGAGGAUGACCAGCCACACGGGAACUGAGACACGGUCCAGACUCCUACGGGAGGCAGCAGUGUGGAAUAUUGCACAGUGGGCGCAAGCCUGAUGCAGCCAUGCCGCGUGUAUGAAGAAGGCCUUCGGGUUGUAAAGUACUUUCAGCGGGGAGGAAGGGAGUAAAGUUAAUACCUUUGCUCAUUGACGUUACCCGCAGAAGAAGCACCGGCUAACUCCGUG